RNAcentral lists this ribosomal RNA (676 nucleotides) under Sticta aff. martinii. Its description in RNAcentral is "SSU rRNA". It matches the Rfam family "Bacterial small subunit ribosomal RNA", at positions 460 to 1126 of the family's 1533-position model. The record is from RNAcentral. Lineage: Eukaryota; Fungi; Ascomycota; Lecanoromycetes; Peltigerales; Lobariaceae.
AUUAUGAUGAUGACAUUAUCUAUCUAUUAGUCUUGACCAAAUUACGUGCCAGCAGUCGCGGUAAUACGUAGAAGACAAGUGUUAUUCAUCUUUAUUAGGUUUAAAGCGUACCAAGACGGUUAAUAAAGCCCAAAAGAAAUGAAUACGGGGGACACAUUAACUAGAGUUAUAUGAAAGGAAGCUAUAAGGUACUGUUGAGUGUAGAGAUGAAAUUCUAUGAUACCAGAUGAUUGGCACAGAUUAAUGCGAAGGCAUCUUCUUAUGUAAUAACUGACGUUGUAGGACGAAGGCUUAGGAAGUGAACAGGAUUAGGUACCCCAGUAAUCUAGGCAGAAAAUGAUGAAUGUCAUAGGUUGAAUACAGACAGGUUAAAUUGACUAUCUAACAGUAAAUAGGUAGUAUAUUAAUCAGUCUAUUAUUGUGUCUAUAAAUGAAAGUGUAAGCAUUCCACCUCAAGAGUAAUUUGGCAACAUUGGAACUGAAAUCAUUAGACCGUUUCUGAAACCAGUAGUGAAGUAUGUUGUUUAAUUAGAUGAUACACAAGAACCUUACCACAUUUUGAAUAUAUAUAUAAAAUAUAUUUACAAGCGCUGCACGGCUGUCUACAGUUAAUGUCGUGAGACUUUGGUUAGCUCCAGGAAAUAACGGUAAACCCUAAUUUUAUUUAUAAAUAAAA